GAUGAACGCUGGCGGCGUGCCUAAUACAUGCAAGUCGAGCGAACAGACGAGGAGCUUGCUCCUCUGACGUUAGCGGCGGACGGGUGAGUAACACGUGGAUAACCUACUUAUAAGACUGGGAUAACUUCGGGAAACCGGAGCUAAUACCGGAUAAUAUAUUGAACCGCAUGGUUCAAUAGUGAAAGACGGUUUUGCUGUCACUUAUAGAUGGAUCCGCGCCGCAUUAGCUAGUUGGUAAGGUAACGGCUUACAAAGGCAACGAUGCGUAGCCGACCUGAGAGGGUGAUCGGCCACACUGGAACUGAGACACGGUCCAGACUCCUACGGGAGGCAGCAGUAGGGAAUCUUCCGCAAUGGGCGAAAGCCUGACGGAGCAACGCCGCGUGAGUGAUGAAGGUCUUCGGAUCGUAAAACUCUGUUAUUAGGGAAGAACAAAUGUGUAAGUAACUAUGCACGUCUUGACGGUACCUAAUCAGAAAGCCACGGCUAACUACGUG
RNAcentral lists this ribosomal RNA (497 nucleotides) under uncultured bacterium. RNAcentral describes it as "partial 16S ribosomal RNA". It matches the Rfam family "Bacterial small subunit ribosomal RNA", at positions 28 to 507 of the family's 1533-position model. The record is from RNAcentral.